This is a microRNA precursor of Bos grunniens (domestic yak), 79 nucleotides long. The record is from Ensembl. Lineage: Eukaryota; Metazoa; Chordata; Mammalia; Artiodactyla; Bovidae.
GUGAGAAAUUCCUAGGAGAGAGGGAUGAUUAAAAGUGUAUACUCAGUUUUUGCUGUUUCUUAUCAGGAGCUAUAAUCAU